AUUGAACGCUGGCGGCAUGCCUUACACAUGCAAGUCGAACGGCAGCACGGGAGCAAUCCUGGUGGCGAGUGGCGAACGGGUGAGUAAUAUAUCGGAACGUGCCCAGUCGUGGGGAUAACGUAGCGAAAGCUACGCUAAUACCGCAUACGAUCUAUGGAUGAAAGCGGGGGAUCGCAAGACCUCGCGCGAUUGGAGCGGCCGAUAUCAGAUUAGGUAGUUGGUGAGGUAAAGGCUCACCAAGCCGACGAUCUGUAGCUGGUCUGAGAGGACGACCAGCCACACUGGGACUGAGACACGGCCCAGACUCCUACGGGAGGCAGCAGUGGGGAAUUUUGGACAAUGGGCGCAAGCCUGAUCCAGCAAUGCCGCGUGCAGGAUGAAGGCCUGGUUGUAACGU
RNAcentral lists this ribosomal RNA (397 nucleotides) under uncultured bacterium. RNAcentral describes it as "bacterial SSU rRNA". It matches the Rfam family "Bacterial small subunit ribosomal RNA", at positions 30 to 431 of the family's 1533-position model. The record is from RNAcentral.